Molecule: unclassified non-coding RNA, 395 nt
Filed under: soil metagenome
Description: partial contains 5.8S ribosomal RNA, internal transcribed spacer 2, and large subunit ribosomal RNA
Rfam family: 5.8S ribosomal RNA (bases 1-122)
Source: RNAcentral
GAUGAAGAACGCAGCGAAAUGCGAUACUUGGUGUGAAUUCCAGAAUCCCGUGAACCAUCGAGUCUUUGAACGCAAGUUGCGCCCGAAGCCAUCAGGUUGAGGGCACGUCUGCCUGGGCGUCACAUAUCGUUGCCCAAUGCCUAUUGCAGUGCAAUAGGAAUUUCUAGGGCGAAUGAUGGCUUCCCGUGAGCGUUGUUGCCUCGCGGUUGGUUGAAAAUCGAGUCCUUGGUAGGGUGUGCCAUGGUAGAUGGUGGUCGAGUUAGAACGAUACCGAUCAUGUGCAUGCUCCCCAAAAUAUGGCCUCUAUGACCCACACGCGUCUUUUGACGCUCAUGACGAGACCUCAGGUCAGGCGGGGCUACCCGCUGAAUUUAAGCAUAUCAAUAAGCGGAGGA